Molecule: long non-coding RNA, 694 nt
Filed under: Apis florea (little honeybee)
Lineage: Eukaryota; Metazoa; Arthropoda; Insecta; Hymenoptera; Apidae
Description: uncharacterized LOC105735624, transcript variant X2
Source: RNAcentral
UCUUCCCUUGGUAUGAAAAUCGAGGGGAGGGGGAAGAAGGACAGAGAAGAGAGUCAUCGAAUUUUACGACGUCGUAUCGGUGCAAUAUUCCUUUCGGUGGAUGGGGGAGCCGCAUCCUUCCCAGUCUCUCGCUUUAAAGCGCGCCGUUAAAUGCGAAAAUAGGGUAACUACCCUAAAUAAUUUCCGACCUCGAAGGGGGAUGGAAAUGGGGAUCUCGAAAUUGGAGGAAAAAACAAGGAGCAAGACAUCUCUCGAAGCGGAAAAUCGUAUGCGCACGCCUUGUAAAAGUAUCCAAGGGGAGGAGAUUAGUUAACAAGAUUACUUACGACUGUCAGCGCUCUGUAAGCAAGUUUCUGAAUAGGGGUAUGGCGGCGGGUUGUGGCGCGGAUGAUCUACUAUGCAGUCAGCCAGCCAUGUCAACGAUAUACAUUCAGCCCCGGCCCGUGGUGCAAGUAGGGCUGCAAUGUCUGCGAAACGGUAAUGGAACGGCAAACGACCUGGGAUUUACCCCUUGGAACAUUCUAACAAAGCUCUAGGCCACCGCAGCCACCUACCACGAAGAGAGGGAGAAAAAAAAUUGAACGGGUGGGAUGCUUGCAUGCUAUCUUCGACUCGAGUGGAUCCAGUUCGAAUCCUGUCGAGAUGAAUUUUAAAUCUUUGCUAAUCUCCGUUUCGACGACGAUCAAUCGAAAAU